CCUACGGGUGGCAGCAGUGAGGAAUAUUGGUCAAUGGGCGCGAGCCUGAACCAGCCAAGUAGCGUGAAGGAUGACUGCCCUACGGGUUGUAAACUUCUUUUGUAAAGGAAUAAAGUGAGGCACGUGUGCCUUUUUGCAUGUACUUUAUGAGUAAGGAUCGGCUAACUCCGUGCCAGCAGCCGCGGUAAUACGGAGGAUCCGAGCGUUAACCGGAUUUAUUGGGUUUAAAGGGAGCGUAGAGGGGUUGUUAAGUCAGUUGUGAAAGGUUGCGGCUCAACCGUAGAAUUGCACUUGAUACUGGCAGUCUUGAGUAUAGUUGAGGUAGGCGGAAUUCGUGGUGUAGCGGUGAAAUGCGUAGAUAUCACGAAGAACUCCGAUUGCGAAGGCAGCUUACUAAACUGCCACUGACAUUGAUGCUCGAAAGUGUGGGUAUCAAACAGGAUUAGAUACCCUGGUAGUC
This 460-nucleotide ribosomal RNA is filed under the name uncultured bacterium. RNAcentral describes it as "partial 16S ribosomal RNA". It matches the Rfam family "Bacterial small subunit ribosomal RNA", at positions 338 to 795 of the family's 1533-position model. The record is from RNAcentral.